UGCCACGGACGGGGGCCACGCCGGUCGGGGAUGUGGCCUUCACUCCUGCUCCCCUGAGCCCCACGCCCCGGCCGCGCAGCGGGUCCACUGUCCCUCCUGUGCCUCGGGAGUGGCCACCCCGCCUCUAGCUGCUGAGACCCCAGAGGCUGUCACACCUGCCCCACUGGGACUCCCAGGUGAAGGGCGGGCUUGCAGCAGCCGCUUCCCACAGGGCUUCUCGGGGGUCCCCGUCAUCUCCUUCCCUGCUCAUUUCCCUUGACCCUUUAUUUUUAAAUUAUGAAAUAUUUCAAGCAUACAAAAAUUACAGAGAAUCAUUAAAAAGUAUACACUAUUAUGAAAUAGAUAUGGAUGCCUUGAAGAUGGCUGUCCUGGAAAGUUCCCUGUUCUGGGCUGUGGUUUCUCCACGCUGCCCGAAGGGGGACAGAACCAAAGCCGGUGUGAGCUGACACCCCUGGAAGAUGGAGGGGCUGGGGCUGAGCCAGGCCUGCCCUGCCCACCGUGGGCAGCCAGGGUGAGCUGGACAUCUCGCAGGGGUCCGACACCCUCUGCAUGAGUACAUGAGGCAGCGAGGCAAAGAACCUCAAGGCGAGGGCUGGCUGGAAGCCCUGAACGUCGCAGCCCAGACCCAAGAGCCCCACGGCUGCAUCCCAGGUCUGCGACUCCGAGAAGCUGUCCUGGUGACUCUUUCCACCUGUGGUUUUGCUUUUUAAAUAAAUGCUCACUCUCAUCAACCCCCAGGCACAGGCCCAGGCUGAAGAGGAAAGACAAGAGCCGCCCUGCCCAGAAACGUCCACAUGUGGGUACUGCAUUCCUACCGGUGUGACAGGUCAGUGUGACAGGUCGGUGUGACAGGCACCGGUGUGACAGGUCGGUGUGACAGGCACCAGUGUGACAGGCACCAGUGUGACAGGUCGGUGUGACAGACACCGGUGACAAGUCAGUGUGACAGGCAGUGGUGUGACAGGCACCGGUGUGACAGGUCGGUGUGACAGGUACUGUUGUGACAGGUCGGUGUGAGACACUGGUGUGACAAGUCAGUGUGACAGGCAGUGGUGUGACAGGCACCGGUGUGACAGGUCAGUGUGACAGGUACUGUUGUGACAGGUCGGUGUGAGACACUGGUGUGACAAGUCAGUGUGACAGGCAGUGGUGUGACAGGUCGGUGUGACAGGCACCGGUGUGACAGGUCGGUCACGUUGGCUCCCUGGCACGCGGCAGAGUGGGGACCGUGCCCCCGUGAGUGUCACACUGGGGUCCACACCAGGCUGAUCCACUGUGAGCUGGGAGUUGCCAUAGAGACUCUAUAAAUACAACCAAACAUCUUCCAGGGAACAGAAGCGUUUCUCAUCCCAAACCUCCACAUGGCCCUGGAGAUCCCCAACACCUUAGCAAAGGCCAGGUCUUCACGGAAGUGUUUCUCCCGAAAGCCCCCACCGGCGAGGGCCCCCGGAACCACCGUGAAGGGCCCGCGGGGCCAGGGGCCGCCUAC
Molecule: long non-coding RNA, 1489 nt
Filed under: Homo sapiens (human)
Lineage: Eukaryota; Metazoa; Chordata; Mammalia; Primates; Hominidae
Description: HSALNT0375403
Source: RNAcentral